RNAcentral lists this ribosomal RNA (373 nucleotides) under uncultured organism. RNAcentral describes it as "partial 16S ribosomal RNA". It matches the Rfam family "Bacterial small subunit ribosomal RNA", at positions 527 to 896 of the family's 1533-position model. The record is from RNAcentral.
GUAGGUGGCAAGCGUUGUCCGGAAUUAUUGGGCGUAAAGCGCGCGCAGGCGGUUCUUUAAGUCUGAUGUGAAAGCCCACGGCUCAACCGUGGAGGGUCAUUGGAAACUGGAGAACUUGAGUACAGAAGAGGAAAGCGGAAUUCCACGUGUAGCGGUGAAAUGCGUAGAGAUGUGGAGGAACACCAGUGGCGAAGGCGGCUUUCUGGUCUGUAACUGACGCUGAGGCGCGAAAGCGUGGGGAGCAAACAGGGAUUAGAUACCCUGGUAGUCCACGCCGUAAACGAUGAGUGCUAAGUGUUAGGGGGGUUUCCGCCCCCUUAGUGCUGCAGCUAACGCAUUGAGCACUCCGCCUGGGAGUACGGCCGCAAGGCUG